RNAcentral lists this transfer RNA (63 nucleotides) under Cocculina enigmadonta. RNAcentral's name for it is "tRNA-Cys". The record is from RNAcentral. Lineage: Eukaryota; Metazoa; Mollusca; Gastropoda; Cocculinidae.
GGUUUAGUAGUAUAAACAAAUACAACAAAUUGCAACUUUGAAAAUAUGUUCUCAUCAAAUCCU